Molecule: ribosomal RNA, 497 nt
Filed under: uncultured bacterium
Lineage: Bacteria
Description: partial 16S ribosomal RNA
Rfam family: Bacterial small subunit ribosomal RNA
Source: RNAcentral
GAUGAACGCUGGCGGCGUGCCUAAUACAUGCAAGUCGAGCGAACGGACGAGAAGCUUGCUUUUCUGAUGUUAGCGGCGGACGGGUGAGUAACACGUGGAUAACCUACCUAUCAGACUGGGAUAACUUCGGGAAACCGGAGCUAAUACCGGAUAAUAUUUUGAACCGCAUGGUUCAAAAGUGAAAGACGGUCUUGCUGUCACUUAUAGAUGGAUCCGCGCUGCAUUAGCUAGUUGGUAAGGUAACGGCUUACCAAGGCAACGAUGCAUAGCCGACCUGAGAGGGUGAUCGGCCGCACUGGAACUGAGACACGGUCCAGACUCCUAAGGGAGGCAGCAGUAGGGAAUCUUCGGCAAUGGGCGAAAGCCUGACGGAGCAACGCCGCGUGAGUGAUGAAGGUCUUCGGAUCGUAAAACUCUGUUAUUAGGGAAGAACAGAUGUGUAAGUAACUGUGCACAUCGUGACGGUACCUAAUCAGAAAGCCACGGCUAACUACGUG